CAGUAGCCGCGGGAAUACGGAGGGUGCAAGCGUUAAUCGGAAUUACUGGGCGUAAAGCGCACGCAGGCGGUCUGACAAGUCAGAUGUGAAAUCCCCGGGCUUAACCUGGGAACUGCAUUUGAAACUGUCAGGCUGGAGUCUUGUAGAGGGGGGUAGAAUUCCAGGUGUAGCGGUGAAAUGCGUAGAGAUCUGGAGGAAUACCGGUGGCGAAGGCGGCCCCCUGGACAAAGACUGACGCUCAGGUGCGAAAGCGUGGGGAGCAAACAGGAUUAGAUACCCCGGUAGUCCUGUCUCUUAUACA
This 301-nucleotide ribosomal RNA is filed under the name uncultured bacterium. RNAcentral describes it as "partial 16S ribosomal RNA". It matches the Rfam family "Bacterial small subunit ribosomal RNA", at positions 509 to 809 of the family's 1533-position model. The record is from RNAcentral.